Long non-coding RNA from Equus caballus (horse), 3732 nucleotides. The record is from Ensembl. NCBI's taxonomy places the organism in Eukaryota, Metazoa, Chordata, Mammalia, Perissodactyla, Equidae.
CGACACUAUUACUCCUCUGCCUAAAUUGCCCCAGCAUCCCCUAAAACCCUAAGCAUCAAAGGGACUACAACCAUUGUUGCAGAUUUCAUAGCUAAGGGCUUACUUAUUCCUUGUGCUAGUCCCUGCAGCACUCCUACCCUCCAGCUAAAAAGUUCAAAUGGAUGUGGAUAACUCUACGUAUGAGACUUAAGGGAUGUAAACGAGAUAAUGCGCAUAUGUUUCCCAGUGGUCCCCAACCCAGAUAUUAUCCUGGCUUCUCUACCUCCAAAUUCAACACAGCAGUGGAUCUCCGUUCAACCUUCUUUAGUAUUCCCUUAUCCUGAUUCACACUCUUUUUGCUUUCACGUGGAAUAAAGAGCAAUGCCCGAGGACUGUGAUGCCUCAAGGCUUCAUUGAAGCCCUCUCGUAUAUCCCUAAGGAUCUCAACCAUAAUCUCCAAGCUUUCUGGUUCCCUCAUUCUUUUACCUUGAUCCAAUAUGUUCACUUGCCCUUAUGUUCACCUGGUGGAACCUCUUAUCUAGAGCACUCACUUUAUCUCUUGGAACAUUUGGUUACAAAAGGACAUAAAGUUUCUAAAGAUAAAUUACUAUUUUGUCAGGCUCAAAUUUGCUCUCUCUGUCUCUCUCUAUCCCAAGAAGGUAAAUUCCUCUCACCAGUCUGAGGAAUUAUAAUUUGUUCUCUCACCAGACAGAGUUAUAGCCAUCCAAUGUUUCUCUUGCCCUAUUACCAAAAGACUGGUAGAGUAAGGAACAUGGCACACUCUUCCCGGAAAACAACCAUUUAACUGGAGACAAUUAUAAAGACCAAACCAAACCAAAGCAAUCAUUUAAAGUCUCUGGCAAUGGUCCUAAGGAAUGCAAGAAGUAGAGAAACAUUUAUUCAAGAAAACACACUAAAUUUAGAAAAAACAGUGAUAGUCUGGGGCUACACUUGAGCCACAGCCUGCUCCCUCCUUCUCUCCCAGCUAUGUUUUAUGGAAACUAAUCUGGGCAUGCUACUCCUGGCGGAUGUGCCCAAGAAGAUGACGGCUUCCUCUUCCCUCGGCUCCCAGCCUAGGGCUAUGGUUUCACCCCAGGAUGGGCAGGCCACUGGCAUUCCUCAUUUCCCCCAACCCUGUGUUGCAGAAGCUCUAUUCCUGAUAGGCUUUGCCAAGAGGACUGAGUUCUCUUCCACCACCUACUCAUAGGGUAGAAGGAUCUACUCCAGGUGGAGCAAGCCGAGAACACAGGUCUGAUGGAUCCCACUCAAAGUUGUUCGUGGGGUGGAGGCUCCAGACCAGGAGGGGCAAGCCAAGAAGAACAGGGGCUACGACUGCCUCGGUGCCCACUCAUAGAACAGGAGUGUCACUCUGGGGCACUGUCACUCCAGCUCCUGUGCAGAGAGGUUCUGUGCAAGGAGAGAGGCAGGCCAUAAGGAUGAAGAACGCUGUAGCUCUGCCUAAGAGGACUAACUUUAUCUGGAACAGAGCACGGAGAAGUCCAUGCCUAAGGCUUUUGUCAACAACAGUGGAGAUCUUGUUGUAGAGCAAUUAAGAGAGAAUUCACAGCUUCAUCAUACCAGUAGCAACAAGCAAAUGGCAGAGCAAUCAGAAGUUUCACAGGGAGAAUUAGGGAAAGGAAAGCCAAGAAGACCUGUCUGGGAUCACAGCCAAGCCUGGGGUCAGGAGGGCUGUGCAUAAGCAUGAUGUUGCCCCCACUCAGCAGCAAUUAGAAUAGACAUGGAGAAGCCUUGAAAACGUGUACCAGACCUCACACAGAUCCAUGAACCAAGAGCACAAGUCUCGCUGACCAAAUACCGGCUGAAUAACCUACUCUGAUUUGGGAGCAGUUCCUAGGGAGCCAGGCUGAAGAGUAAAAUCACGGGUACCCAUGGCAGUUAGAAGACUGUGUGCAUGUUCAAAGCUGCAUUCUCUUAGGAGUGACUGGAAAGAGAAAGUCCAAGCUAAUUGUCCCUGACUGAACGUGAAGCAAAAAUGUAAACUCUGUGAGCAGUGAUAGUAGCUUCCAGGCCAAACAAACAUCCAACGAUAAAGGGUAAAAGUCUAACUGCCAAAGGGGGCUUAAACACAACCUUUGACCAAUAAGUGGUUUACGCUGACCCAGGGUUGACCCUUACGUAGUCAGGCUAAAAGAUAAAAAACAAAAAAACAAAAAAUAUGAACAAGGACGUAAGACGCUGAACGCUGUAGGGCAAAGUGACUUCACAAAGUUAGUUCACCAAAGUCACUAAAAAUAAAUAAAUGACAAAUCAACGACAGUCCCAGGGUAGGGAGAGAGCAAUAUCUGGAACUGAUGCAAUAUCUAAAUAUUUAGAUAAAGAUUUUAGAUAAAUACAUAAAUGUAUCUAAAAUUUCCAGUUUUCAACCACAGAAAAAAAAAUGAUCCAUACGAUGAAACAGGAAAGUGUGACCCAUACACACAGUCAAUAGAAACUGUUUUGGAGGGUCCCAGACUUUGGACUUAGCAGAAAAACACUUGAAAGCAGCCAUUAUAAAAAUGUUCAAAGAACUAAAGGAAAUUAUGCCUAAAAAUUUUUAAAAGUAUGAUAACAGUAUCUUGAUGAAUAAAGAAAACCAAUAAAGAGUUCAGAAUUAUAGAAAGGAACCAAAGGGAAAUUCUGGAUUGGAAAAAUACGAUAACUGAAAUGAAAAAUUUAAUAAAGGGGCUCAACAGUAGAUUUGAGCUGGAAGAAGAAAGAAUUAGUGAAGUAGAAGAGAGAUCACUAGAGAUUAGGGAAUCUGAAGAAGAGAGAGAAAAAAGAAUGGAGAAAAAUGAUCAGAAUAACAUGAAACACACCAAUGUACGUGUAAUGGGAGUAGCAGAAGGAAAGCAGAAGGGGAAAGGAGAAGAAAAAAUAUUUGUGGUAAUAAUGGUUGAAAAUUUCCCAAAUUUGAUUAAAAAACAGCUUUCAUCCACAUAUUCAAGAAACUCAUGCAGCUCAAAGUGGAUAAAAUGCAGGAAGAUUCACACCCAGAUAGAUCAUAGCCAAAAUGAUGAAAGCCAAAGAUGAAGAAAAGAUCUUAAAAACAGUAAGAGGAAAAUGACUCAUCACUUGCAAGGUAACCCCAGUAAUGUUAACAAUGAGCUUCUCACUGGAAACAAUGGAGGCCAGGAGGGAGUGGAACAACAUAUUUGAGAUGCUGAAAGCUUAAAAAAAUUAUCAACCAAAAGUUUUAUAUCCAGCAAAAAUGAAACAAAUACAUUCCAAGAUUGAAAAAAAAAAGAAAGAAAAGCAGCUUGGAGAAUUUGUUGUUAGAAGACCUGCCUUGAAAGAAACACUAGAGUUUUGAGAGUGAAAACGAGUUACGCCAGAUAGAAAUUUGAAUCCACAUCAAAAAACAAAGCAUGUCAAUAAAAGUAAUUAUGAUGGUAACUAUAAAAGAAAUUGUGUUGGAAUAAGGAAGUGACAUCAUAUGGUAAUGCAAGUUCACUGGAAGAAAUGAAGGGAAUCAGAGAUGAUAAAUAAGAAGAUUAAUAUAGCAAACUUCAAAUAUAUACUUGCACUCCUGUCUUCUUUGAGCACCUUUGAAUGACAGAAGAUUAUACAAGGUAAUAAGUUUUCAUUGUUGGGUUUGUGACACAUACAGCAAUACUGAGUAUAACAAAAUAGUACACACACGGGGUGUAGGAAUGGACCUAUACAGGAGUAAAGUUUCUAUAUUUCACUAGCAUUAAGUUAGCAUACAUCUGAAACAGAUUCUGAUAAGUUAGGAUGUAUAUUGCACGCCCUAGA